RNAcentral lists this ribosomal RNA (689 nucleotides) under uncultured beta proteobacterium. RNAcentral's name for it is "bacterial SSU rRNA". It matches the Rfam family "Bacterial small subunit ribosomal RNA", at positions 73 to 755 of the family's 1533-position model. The record is from RNAcentral. Lineage: Bacteria; Pseudomonadati; Pseudomonadota; Betaproteobacteria.
AUCUAGCUUGCUAGAUUGAUGGCGAGUGGCGAACGGGUGAGUAAUACAUCGGAACGUGCCCUGUAGUGGGGGAUAACUAGUCGAAAGAUUAGCUAAUACCGCAUACGACCUGAGGGUGAAAGUGGGGGACCGCAAGGCCUCAUGCUAUAGGAGCGGCCGAUGUCUGAUUAGCUAGUUGGUGAGGUAAAGGCUCACCAAGGCGACGAUCAGUAGCUGGUCUGAGAGGACGAUCAGCCACACUGGGACUGAGACACGGCCCAGACUCCUACGGGAGGCAGCAGUGGGGAAUUUUGGACAAUGGGCGAAAGCCUGAUCCAGCAAUGCCGCGUGUGUGAAGAAGGCCUUCGGGUUGUAAAGCACUUUUGUCCGGAAAGAAAUGGCUCUGGUUAAUACCUGGGGUCGAUGACGGUACCGGAAGAAUAAGGACCGGCUAACUACGUGCCAGCAGCCGCGGUAAUACGUAGGGUCCAAGCGUUAAUCGGAAUUACUGGGCGUAAAGCGUGCGCAGGCGGUUGUGCAAGACCGAUGUGAAAUCCCCGAGCUUAACUUGGGAAUUGCAUUGGUGACUGCACGGCUAGAGUGUGUCAGAGGGGGGUAGAAUUCCACGUGUAGCAGUGAAAUGCGUAGAGAUGUGGAGGAAUACCGAUGGCGAAGGCAGCCCCCUGGGAUAACACUGACGCUCAUGCACG